This 128-nucleotide small RNA is filed under the name Marmota monax (woodchuck). Lineage: Eukaryota; Metazoa; Chordata; Mammalia; Rodentia; Sciuridae. The record is from RNAcentral.
GCUGGGUGCAGUGGGGCACACCUGUAAUCCCGGCGGCUCAGGAGGCUGAGGCAGAAGGAUUGCAAGUUCUAAGCCAGCCUCAGCAACUUUAGGGAGGCCCUAAGCAACUCAGCAAGACCCAGUCUCUA